GAUGAACGCUGGCGGCGUGCCUAAUACAUGCAAGUCGAGCGAACAGACGAGGAGCUUGCUCCUCUGACGUUAGCGGCGGACGGGUGAGUAACACGUGGAUAACCUACCUAUAAGACUGGGAUAACUUCGGGAAACCGGAGCUAAUACCGGAUAAUAUAUUGAACCGCAUGGUUCAAUAGUGAAAGACGGUUUUGCUGUCACUUAUAGAUGGAUCCGCGCCGCAUUAGCUAGUUGGUAAGGUAACGGCUUACCAAGGCAACGAUGCGUAGCCGACCUGAGAGGGGGAUCGGCCACACUGGAACUGAGACACGGUCCAGACUCCUACGGGAGGCAGCAGUAGGGAAUCUUCCGCAAUGGGCGAAAGCUGGACGGAGCAACGCCGCGUGAGUGAUGAAGGUCUUCGGAUCGUAAAACUCUGUUAUUAGGGAAGAACAAAUGUGUAAGUAACUAUGCACGUCUUGACGGUACCUAAUCAGAAAGCCACGGCUAACUACGUG
Molecule: ribosomal RNA, 497 nt
Filed under: uncultured bacterium
Lineage: Bacteria
Description: partial 16S ribosomal RNA
Rfam family: Bacterial small subunit ribosomal RNA
Source: RNAcentral